Long non-coding RNA from Exaiptasia diaphana, 444 nucleotides. RefSeq lists it as uncharacterized. The transcript has 2 exons. The record is from RefSeq and is a predicted model, not a curated record. NCBI's taxonomy places the organism in Eukaryota, Metazoa, Cnidaria, Anthozoa, Actiniaria, Aiptasiidae.
CAUUUCAGAAUUAUAUUUCCAAGGAGUCAGUCACAACACUUCACCUCAAGCACUAUGAAUACCAAAGCAGUUUUUUUCCUAGUUUGUGUUGUAUUGAUGGCCUUUGUGACGGCACAAGGAGCACACGCUUUUACGGCUGGUGGCGGUGGAAAUAUACCAGGAGCGGGAAAACGAGAAUAUAUGGUGUUAAAAAGAGCUGUUAAGAAUCUUUGUCUUGUCGCACGAGCUCACUGCAAGAGAGAUGUACUCCUUUCAGAUGAAUAAAGUCGAACUGUUCUUUUAAUAAAAAAUGUCAGUUGAAUAAAUUACAUGCAACAACGAAGAUGUCAGCCAUCACAGCAAGAUAAUAUUUUAAGAAAAAAAAGUUAAUCAAGUARAUUACAUCAAUAUUGUCUAUUCUUACUGUAAAUGAAUAUUGUCGUAAUAAAUAUGAUUUUCAAAUGA